RNAcentral lists this unclassified non-coding RNA (164 nucleotides) under fungal sp. RNAcentral describes it as "partial internal transcribed spacer region". Lineage: Eukaryota; Fungi. The record is from RNAcentral.
GGUGCAGGACGCCUGGUUCUCCGUGGUGCGCCAUAUUGGCAGCUUCGAAGGCCGCUCCAGUCUCAAGACCUGGCUGCUGACCAUCACUGCCAACUCGGCGAAAAGUCGCUACAAGCAAAAUCGUCGUGAAGUGUUGAUGGAUGACCUGCCGUCGCCCCAUGGCA